This 394-nucleotide ribosomal RNA is filed under the name uncultured Anaeromyxobacter sp. RNAcentral's name for it is "bacterial SSU rRNA". It matches the Rfam family "Bacterial small subunit ribosomal RNA", at positions 63 to 447 of the family's 1533-position model. Lineage: Bacteria; Pseudomonadati; Myxococcota; Myxococcia; Myxococcales; Anaeromyxobacteraceae. The record is from RNAcentral.
CGAGAAAGCCCGCAAGGGUGAGUAAACCGGCGAACGGGUGCGUAACACGUGGAUAAUCUACCUUCCUGACUGGGACAACUGGCCGAAAGGCUUGCUAAUACCAGAUAAGCCCACGGCGUCUUUGGACGCUGAGGGAAAAGGUGGCCUCUGUAUGCAAGCUAUCGCAGGGAGAUGAGUCCGCGGCCCAUCAGCUAGUUGGCGGGGUAAAAGCCCACCAAGGCUACGACGGGUAGCUGGUCUGAGAGGAUGAUCAGCCACACUGGAACUGAGACACGGUCCAGACUCCUACGGGAGGCAGCAGUGGGGAAUCUUGCGCAAUGGGCGAAAGCCUGACGCAGCAACGCCGCGUGUGUGAUGAAGGUCUUCGGAUCGUAUAGCACUGUCGCGAGGGACG